UGCCAGCAGCCGCGGUUACACCGAGAAGUUAAGUCAUAUUUAAAUGGUAAAAAGACAGUUAGACUUAAAAUACUUAAUUGUUUUCUGACCGUUUAUAAAAAAGUAAAAUUUAUAUAUAAACGUGUAAUCUAGUAAUAACUGUGAGUUGAACCUGUGAAGGCCUGGAGGGAAACUGGGAUUAGAUACCCCAUUAUUCUUGGUUAUAAAUUGAAUUAAAUUUACCAGAGUACUAUGAAUAUUAUAAAAUUUAAAACUCAAAGGACUUGGCGGUGUUUUAGACCACUCAGGGGAACCUGUCUCGUAAUCGAUAAUCCACGUUACACCUAACCUUUUUUUGCUUUCAGCUUGUAUACCGUUGUCGUCAGGUAACUUUUAAGAAACCAGAAGUUAGCUAGAAACAGUGAAUUUAAACGUCAAAUCAAGGUGCAGCUAACAAAAAGGCGAGGAUGGGUUACAAUUACUAAGUUGUAAUUAUGAAAAAUCAUAUGAAUUAGUGAUUAAGAAGGAGGACUUGAAAGUAAAUUAGAUUAUAAAGAUAAUUUGAAUAAGGCUCUGAAAUGCGCACACAUCGCCCGCCGCUC
Molecule: ribosomal RNA, 581 nt
Filed under: Polystira picta
Lineage: Eukaryota; Metazoa; Mollusca; Gastropoda; Neogastropoda; Turridae
Description: partial 12S ribosomal RNA
Rfam family: Eukaryotic small subunit ribosomal RNA
Source: RNAcentral